Long non-coding RNA from Rhodamnia argentea, 297 nucleotides. RefSeq lists it as uncharacterized. The transcript is spliced from 3 exons. NCBI's taxonomy places the organism in Eukaryota, Viridiplantae, Streptophyta, Magnoliopsida, Myrtales, Myrtaceae. The record is from RefSeq and is a predicted model, not a curated record.
CUGUUCUUAAUUUGAGACUUGUGAAUAUUAGCUUGGAUGCUGUGUCUACUGAUCUUCAUAGGUAUUUCCAGACCACUGUACAGUCAGUAGAUAUGGAACCAAAGUGGUCAGGAACAUUCUUUGCAGCAAUUCUUAGAAGACAUCACGCAGAGUAUGAUGACACAGCACUGCAUGCUGAAAGAUGUCCUUGUCCUAAGCUCCUCCACUUCAAACGUUAAACAAGUCAGAUAUUCAUCCAUUCUGCUGGAGCCAGUUGGUUUGAACAUAGAUGGGGAGACACUAAUGAGAAUUGGCGCU